This 339-nucleotide unclassified non-coding RNA is filed under the name soil metagenome. Its description in RNAcentral is "partial contains 5.8S ribosomal RNA, internal transcribed spacer 2, and large subunit ribosomal RNA". The stretch from base 1 to 120 matches the Rfam family "5.8S ribosomal RNA", at positions 35 to 154 of the family's 154-position model. The record is from RNAcentral.
GAUGAAGAACGUAGCGAAAUGCGAUAAGUAGUGUGAAUUGCAGAAUUCAGUGAAUCAUCGAAUCUUUGAACGCACAUUGCGCCCCUCGGUAUUCCGUGGGGCAUGCCUGUUCGAGCGUCAUUUAACCCCUCAAGCCUAGCUUGGUAUAGGGUGCUUGUCCCGCCUCUCGCGCGGCGACUCACCUCAAAGUCAUUGGCAGCCCGCAUCUCGCCGGCCGUGAGCGCAGCACAGACGCGCUCUUGGCAACGACGGAUCGGCUCUCCAAAAGCUUAUUUCAACCUCUGACCUCGGAUCAGGUAGGGAUACCCGCUGAACUUAAGCAUAUCAAUAAGCGGAGGA